RNAcentral lists this ribosomal RNA (465 nucleotides) under uncultured bacterium. RNAcentral's name for it is "partial 16S ribosomal RNA". It matches the Rfam family "Bacterial small subunit ribosomal RNA", at positions 338 to 795 of the family's 1533-position model. The record is from RNAcentral.
CCUACGGGGGGCAGCAGUGGGGAAUAUUUCGCAAUGGGCGAAAGCCUGACGCAGCGACGCCGCGUGAGGGAUGGAAGUCUUCGGAUCGGAAACCUCUGUCAGCAGGGAAGAACGGUCACUGUGCUAAUCAGCAGGGAAUUGACGGUACCUGCACAGGAAGCACCGGCUAACUCCGUGCCAGCACCCGCGGUAAUACGGAGGGUGCGAGCGUUAAUCGGAAUUACUGGGCGUAAAGCGCUCGUAGGCGGUAUGUCAAGUCAAGGGUGAAAUCCCCGCGCUCAACGUGGGAACGGCGUGUGAAACUGGGAGACUGGAGUGUGUGAGAGGAUAGUGGAAUUCCAGGUGUAGGAGUGAAAUCCGUAGAUAUCUGGAGGAACAUCAGUGGCGAAGGCGACUAUCUGGCACAUAACUGACGCUGAGGAGCGAAAGCGUGGGUAGCAAAAAGGAUUAGAUACCCUUGUAGUC